RNAcentral lists this ribosomal RNA (441 nucleotides) under uncultured bacterium. RNAcentral's name for it is "partial 16S ribosomal RNA". It matches the Rfam family "Bacterial small subunit ribosomal RNA", at positions 338 to 795 of the family's 1533-position model. The record is from RNAcentral.
CCUACGUGUGGCAGCAGUGGUGAAUAUUGCACAAUGGGGGAAACCCUGAUGCAGCAACGCCGCGUGAGUGAAGAAGGUUUUCGGAUUGUAAAGCUCUUUUAGCAGGGAAGAGGGAGGACGGUACCUGCAGAGGACGCCACGGCUAACUACGUGCCAGCAGCCGCGGCAAUACGUAGGGCGCCAGCGUUGUUCGGAAUAACUGGGCGUAAAGUAUGCGUAGGCGGUUGAACAAGUCAGAUGUGAAAUCUAUAGGCUCAACCUGUGGAAAGCAUAGAAAACUGGUAAGCUAGAGUGCAGGAGAGGUAAGUAGAAUUCCUAGUGUAGCGGUGAAAGGCGUAGAGAUUAGGAAGAACACCAGUGGCGAAGGCGACUUACUGGACUGAAACUGACGCUGAGGCACGAGAGCAUGGGGAGCAAACAGGAUUAGAUACCCUUGUAGUC